CAAAUACAUAUGAACCCGGAACAUAAAAUACAUGGAAAUCGAAAAGAAGGUUAAACUUUGUUGAUUUUGCAGUAACAGAAUAAUAAGACGCGUUAAUAGACUUGGUUUUGUUCCCACGGAAGAUGACGUCUUUGGACGAAAGUGUUCGAAAUGGACUUGUCAGCAUUUGCAAAGGUACUUGCAAACUAAAGUGUGAACUACAAAAAGAGAGAACCGACAAUGAACAUACGAAGAGGUUUGGUCCCCACGACGACUUUACAGAAAACAAUUAUGAUAUGAAUGUCUUACAACCUCUGAUUAACAGCAUUCGCGUAGAGGUAAAGCAGAUUCCUGAAAAGUAUAAAGACUUUUAUGACCUUGGGCCAAGUGAUUCCAAAGACGGUGAUUAUACAUUUUCUACAAGUUCGGCACCGAAUAAAAAACAUCAGACCCUACACGAAAAGAGACGCAUGGCAUUAAGAGGCUUUCUUGGAGAUAUCAACACUAUUUUGGGUCAGUUAAUUGGGGAGGUUGAAAGUCAGAGAAUAACAAGAAAAUUUAUGCCACCAAGUAAUAAUACUAAGCUAAGAACCGUGCCACUUACACCUCAGCUUAUAUCGGAAAUAACUGACGAAAUUGAACACAAUAUGGAUGAGAUCGAGAAAUCGCUCAAAGGAUCAACACAAAGGCAAAGUGUUGACAGUGGCAUUGAAAAUGACUUACCCCUAAAGGAAAAAAUGAAAGAUAUCACAGAAACUCUUAAGGUUCUGCAUGGAAGUAAAGCUAGUGUGGCAGAUAGUUUUGCAGUAAAAUCUUCUCAUAUCAAUGACUAUAUGGCCUGUAGUAGGUCUGCUCAUGAGAGCAGAAUUCGUCGACAAGAAGGUCCAACAGAACAUGAUGACCAAGAAGAGUUCUUUAGUAUAAAACUGUAACAAUUGUUUAAAUUAUAUAAACAGUAUUUUCAAGAAUCAGUUCAUGGCUAUUUUUAUUAUUGUAGGGCUCUUUUUAAACCACAUCUCUUUCGUUAAUAAUCUAUAUGAAUUUAUUAAAACCUAUUUAUAGCAAAAAUAAACAAACGUGGGUGAAGCAUCGUUAAACUAUCUUCGAAAAACGCUGUUAUUUUCACCCAUUGCAAUAUAUGAGUUGGGUGACUGUUUGUUAAUGGAUUUAAAUGAGAAAACAUCUCGAAUACAUAUAAAUGAAAUGCCCAAAACACGAAGCUAUAAGAAAGCAGAACUUGAACUCAUAUACCCCCACCCUUCUAUGUUUUUUACAUCCAUAUUGUCCAAAGCUGUUGCUGUAUCAUUUGAAUUAAAAAAUAGAGACAUACACAAGUAACCUUUUUAUUUUGUAUUUCAGUCAUAACUGUGAUAUGUAUUUCUACUUUACUUCCAAUAUAUUAUGAGAGCCAUUAUCGAUUUUAUAACUUGGUUCUUAUCUCUUUUUAUCUCUAUGUUUUGAUUAAAUUUUAUGUUUUUAGUCGCUAAAUUAUCAUACUAUUUGUGCUGUUUUGUCAAUUGAAACAAGCAGUAGAACUUUUAACGAGAAAAUGAAUGUAAUUAAUUAGACGUAUCAAAACCCAAAUAACUAGACAUUAGCUAAUUAUCAAAGUCCAAGAAUUGACAUACGUCCAUUACAAUCAAUAUUACCGUGAAAAUAUGGGCUGCUGGUAUCCAAUAUUUAAGACACGAUGUACCAUUUUAAAAUCAGUUGGCGACGACGUGUACUCCAUACCUCCGAGUGCCAUUUGCAAUAGGGCCCUUGAGGUAAAACGUCUUUGGUUAAGUGCAAUAUCAAACCGUAUUUCGACGAACAACGGGGAUUAUAAAUUGAAAUUACAGUUUUAAAAAAUGAAUGUAAAUCAGCUUUAUAUACACUCAUAAUAUUAUAUUAAUAUGAGAUUUAAGGCCCAAAUUAAGUUCCCAAAGAAAAGAGAUUUACAUGUACUAGCUACUCACAAAAUAUCUGAAUAAUAUUAGAGGCUAAAAUGGGUUGCCUAGCUACCACUUAUGCAGAAUCUUAAAAGUACGAAAUUUCAUCAGUGGUUGCCAUACUCUGUAUGGAAGCUAAGUUAGUUUCCAUCUUAUAGUGUACAUAUAUAGGCCUAUUACAAUCCAUUAGAUGAGUUAUACAGUUUGUAAAUUAGAAUGUGGUUAUACAAAUUUCAUAUGUCAGUAUAUAAUGAAAUCGUUUGUUAUUAUGUUUAUUGUUUAAGUUUGUCAAUAUUAAAUCAUUUUUUUAAAAAAUGAGAUAAAUAUGUUAUAUAUUGAAUAAAUAUAUAUUUUUACAAGAA
Molecule: long non-coding RNA, 2272 nt
Organism: Patella vulgata (common limpet)
Lineage: Eukaryota; Metazoa; Mollusca; Gastropoda; Patellidae
Exons: 7
Source: RefSeq, a predicted model, not a curated record